RNAcentral lists this ribosomal RNA (253 nucleotides) under uncultured bacterium. RNAcentral describes it as "partial 16S ribosomal RNA". It matches the Rfam family "Bacterial small subunit ribosomal RNA", at positions 524 to 776 of the family's 1533-position model. The record is from RNAcentral.
UACGUAGGGGGCUAGCGUUGUCCGGAUUUAUUGGGCGUAAAGAGCGUGUAGGCGGCCAGGUAGGUCUGCUGUGAAAACUCGAGGCUCAACCUCGAGACGUCGGCGGAAACCAUCUGGCUAGAGUCCGGAAGAGGAGAGUGGAAUUCCUGGUGUAGCGGUGAAAUGCGCAGAUAUCAGGAAGAACACCCGUGGCGAAGGCGGCUCUCUGGGACAGUACUGACGCUGAGACGCGAAAGCGUGGGGAGCGAACAGG